GCAUGGGUGGCUGAGUCGGUUAAGCGCCUGACUUUGGCUCAGGUCAUGAUCUCAUGGUUCGUGGGUUCGAGCCCCGUGUCGGGCU
Felis catus (domestic cat) is the source of this 85-nucleotide transfer RNA. It matches the Rfam family "tRNA". From Rfam's summary of the family: Transfer RNA (tRNA) molecules are approximately 80 nucleotides in length. The record is from Rfam. Lineage: Eukaryota; Metazoa; Chordata; Mammalia; Carnivora; Felidae.